CUUGUCCUGUGUGGGGUCCACUACUUUUCUCACAGUCAAAACAGUUAUGUUGAUUCGACUUAAACUUAUUUCGUGACAUUCUGCAGUCUCUUCGUGAGUUACAUCAUGGCAACGGACAAAGGAUGGCCUCCCUUGAACGGACAGACUUUCACGUGGCUGUAACAAAUAUGGUGAAAUGAUCGAUCAACGUGGAAGAGCGGGCGCCUCGUUUAUGGAAAAUAACAACUGAACAGACCGCGGUACACGCCUGCCUUUCCGACUGGAUAGCUCCCCAAUGUUCUUUGGUCCGUUAUGAGACAUCUUCUGAUCCCUUAGAGUCAGCGAAAGUCGUCUGGAAAGCUGUCUAAUGGGAGGAAUGGGGUUGCUGCUCAGAGAAUACCACGGAUGGAAAGGACUAGGAGAGGUUUACGUAGUGAGCAAGUAUGGUCUAGUUUCACUCGCGCUGAUGGAAGAAGCAGCUGCAAGAUGUAGCCAGAAUUGAGAGCGUACCGAAGGGCAUGAAAUUUGAACAUAACAAGUAGAUUCACAAGACACUGGCUGCAACCAGGAUUAACCACUGAUCGACUGAACCAUAUCCAACUUACAAGUUUAUUUGUUUAUUAAGAUUCAACACAGAAGUGUAAGGGGCGAGGGAACAGGUAAUGGCACCUUUGCCGGCCCUCGCCCCGACUUAAAAAUACAAGUGUGAUUCAGCUAACGAAAUAUAGAAACGGUCCAUUACUUUUAUGUAGAACGCAGUUUUGAGUGUAAUCAUUAGUUUCAUGUGUUAGACGAACACAAACUGUUUUAACGUUUCCUUUAAUCAUCCUUUACUCCUGGGGUGGCUGGAAAGUUAAGAAAUCGGCCAAAUAGACGGAUAACAUGCAAGAGGGGUUUGUCCGUUAUAGGAGUACAUUUUGCUCAGGUCGGCAAACUGUAAACCUUUAGCGGACUAACUCCUCCGACAUAAUAUCUGUCUAUUAGGCCUAUUUCUCUUUCCAGCCGCUUUUAGUAGUCACAGCUUAUAAACGCACCACGUAUUUACUGAUAGCGUCUACGAAAAUUAUCAUCCUUUGAUAUUGCCAAGAAGAGUAAGAUAUGUAUUGUCUGCUUUUCAACACACCUUGUCAUGUAUGUAUGAAAGGAAUACGCCUACCUUGUGAAAGAUAUCGAUGUAGUUCAAAAUUGAUCAUCAUAAUUCAAGGAGCUAAGUAUCAUAAACAGGUAUGAUUGAUGACUACGCUGUAACGUCUUAUUCAAUUGAGUAGUUCUUUUGUGAUCCAUUGAACAGGUUGACAAAAUAUUUGUGCAAAAUCUA
Long non-coding RNA from Branchiostoma floridae (Florida lancelet), 1297 nucleotides. RefSeq lists it as uncharacterized. The record is from RefSeq and is a predicted model, not a curated record. The transcript is spliced from 3 exons. Lineage: Eukaryota; Metazoa; Chordata; Leptocardii; Amphioxiformes; Branchiostomatidae.